Molecule: ribosomal RNA, 777 nt
Filed under: uncultured Neocallimastigales
Lineage: Eukaryota; Fungi; Neocallimastigomycota; Neocallimastigomycetes; Neocallimastigales
Description: partial large subunit ribosomal RNA
Rfam family: Eukaryotic large subunit ribosomal RNA
Source: RNAcentral
CGAGCACGCGCGUGUGGCAUAUCAAUAAGCGGAGGAAAAGAAACUAACAAGGAUUCCCUUAGUAACGGCGAGUGAAGCGGGAAGAGCUCAAAUUUGAAAUCUUCAAGGUUCUGACCUUGACGAAUUGUAGUUUAUAGAAGUGUUUUCGGUUAGAGGAGUAGUAAGAGUUCUUUGGAAUAGGACAUCAUAGAGGGUGAGAAUCCCGUAUUUGACUAUUCUUUCUAGCUUUGUGAUACACUUUCAAAGAGUCGGAUUGUUUGGGAAUGCAGUCCAUAAUGGGUGGUAAAUUUCAUCUAAAGCUAAAUAUUGGCGAGAGACCGAUAGCGAACAAGUACCGUGAGGGAAAGAUGAAAAGAACUUUGAAAAGAGAGUUAAACAGUACGUGAAAUUGUCAAAAGGGAAGCGUUUGACACCAGUGUUGUUUUCUUGAAAAUCAAUUAAAAAUAAAUUUGAUUUUGUGUUGUAUUGACCUUAAAAGCUUUCUUCACUUUUUUCAUGUUUAUUUUUAAUGCACUUUUCGUUUAACAAGUCAACAUCAGUUUCUUUUGUUGUAAAAAGGUCAUUGGAAGGUGGCUUUCUUUUCGGAGAAAGUGUUUAUAGCCUUUGACUCCUGCAAUCGGAGAGACUGAGGUCUGCAGCGUAGAUCCUUCUGGAUUAGAUUCAUUUGUGCUAAGUUAUAGCUUUUCAUAGACAACUUGUUGACUAUGUUUAGUCAUGUAGCUUACUCGCUUAUGUAAUUUUACCUACGCUUAGGAUGUUGAGUAGCGACAUACGCAC